This 253-nucleotide ribosomal RNA is filed under the name uncultured bacterium. RNAcentral describes it as "partial 16S ribosomal RNA". It matches the Rfam family "Bacterial small subunit ribosomal RNA", at positions 524 to 776 of the family's 1533-position model. The record is from RNAcentral.
UACAGAGGUCUCAAGCGUUGUUCGGAUUCAUUGGGCGUAAAGGGCGCGUAGGCGGCCUUGUCAGUCAGGCGUGAAAGCCCCGGGCUCAACCUGGGAACGGCGCUUGGGACGGCGAGGCUGGAGUUCGGGAGAGGAGAGUGGAAUUCCCAGUGUAGAGGUGAAAUUCGUAGAUAUUGGGAAGAACACCGGUGGCGAAGGCGGCCUGCUGGGCAGUGGCUGACGCUGAGGCGCGACAGCGUGGGGAGCAAACAGG